Artibeus jamaicensis (Jamaican fruit-eating bat) is the source of this 499-nucleotide long non-coding RNA. RefSeq lists it as uncharacterized. The transcript has 4 exons. The record is from RefSeq and is a predicted model, not a curated record. NCBI's taxonomy places the organism in Eukaryota, Metazoa, Chordata, Mammalia, Chiroptera, Phyllostomidae.
UGAAGGAAUGCAACAAUUGCGGGCCUGGAAAUAUGUAAUUGGAUUUAGAUCCAGGAGGGAAUCUUUACUACCUACUCAAAAAUUUUAGGAGGUUUCCAGCUGGAGACAUUUGACAAGUCUGUGACAUGAGCAACUGGGGGCCAAAGGAAAGCUGGAUGAACACUUAACAGAAAAGAUAGACAUGUGCAAAGAACAGAGUGGUAUGGGCUUAAUGUCACCAAGAGAAAAGAGCAGAUGAUGCGGCCAUGUGCCCAGGGAGAACCGCAGAGACUGGUUGUGGUCAACUCAGAGAGAGGAGAAAGGAGGGAGAAAGAAUGAAAGGGAAACAUCAAUGGGAGAGAAGAACAUCUAUCACUUGCCUUUCAUACAUACCCAACCUGGGAUCGAACCUUCAACCUAAGCACGUGCCCUGACCAGAAAUCAAACCAGUGAUGUUUCUCUUUGCAGGACAACUCCAACCAGCUGAGCCAUAUGAGUCAUGGUGGGUGGGUUCACUUAU